This is an unclassified non-coding RNA of Piliocolobus tephrosceles (Ugandan red Colobus), 293 nucleotides long. It matches the Rfam family "Metazoan signal recognition particle RNA". From Rfam's summary of the family: The signal recognition particle (SRP) is a universally conserved ribonucleoprotein. The record is from Ensembl. NCBI's taxonomy places the organism in Eukaryota, Metazoa, Chordata, Mammalia, Primates, Cercopithecidae.
GAGAGCCCCAGGAGGAAGGGGGGGCUGUGAGCAGCACAGGAUUGAGGAUUUGGAAGAGACCUUUAGAACAGCUGGUCAUUAUGCCGACAGGGUGCCUGCACUAAGUUCGGCAUCAAUAUGGUGACCUCCUGGGAGCGGGGGGCCACCAAGUUGCCUAAGGAUGGCUGAACUGGCCCAGGUCAGAAAGGGAGCAGGUCAGAACUCCUGCACCGACCGCUAGUGGGACUGUGCCUGGGCGGUAUAGCCAGAUCAUGGUUCUUAAAAGGAAAAAUAAAGAAUAGCAGCUCAUUCCU